Molecule: ribosomal RNA, 465 nt
Filed under: Salmonella enterica
Lineage: Bacteria; Pseudomonadati; Pseudomonadota; Gammaproteobacteria; Enterobacterales; Enterobacteriaceae
Also listed under: 1 other name
Description: bacterial SSU rRNA
Rfam family: Bacterial small subunit ribosomal RNA
Source: RNAcentral
AAAUUGAAGAGUUUGAUCAUGGCUCAGAUUGAACGCUGGCGGCAGGCCUAACACAUGCAAGUCGAACGGUAACAGGAAGCAGCUUGCUGCUUUGCUGACGAGUGGCGGACGGGUGAGUAAUGUCUGGGAAACUGCCUGAUGGAGGGGGAUAACUACUGGAAACGGUGGCUAAUACCGCAUAACGUCGCAAGACCAAAGAGGGGGACCUUCGGGCCUCUUGCCAUCAGAUGUGCCCAGAUGGGAUUAGCUAGUUGGUGAGGUAACGGCUCACCAAGGCGACGAUCCCUAGCUGGUCUGAGAGGAUGACCAGCCACACUGGAACUGAGACACGGUCCAGACUCCUACGGGAGGCAGCAGUGGGGAAUAUUGCACAAUGGGCGCAAGCCUGAUGCAGCCAUGCCGCGUGUAUGAAGAAGGCCUUAGGGUUGUAAAGUACUUUCAGCGGGGAGGAAGGUGUUGUGGUUA